AUUGAACGCUGGCGGCAGGCCUAACACAUGCAAGUCGAACGGUAACAGGAAGCAGCUUGCUGCUUUGCUGACGAGUGGCGGACGGGUGAGUAAUGUCUGGGAAACUGCCUGAUGGAGGGGGAUAACUACUGGAAACGGUAGCUAAUACCGCAUAAUGUCGCAAGACCAAAGAGGGGGACCUUCGGGCCUUUUGCCUUCGACUUUUCCCAGAUGGCAUUAGCUAGUAGGUGGGUGAAAGGCUCACCUAGGCGCCGAUCCCUAGCUGGUCUGAGAGGAUGACCAGCCACACUGGAACUGAGACACGGUCCAGACUCCUACGGGAGGCAGCAGUGGGGAAUAUUGCACAAUGGGCGCAAGCCUGAUGCAGCCAUGCCGCGUGUAUGAAGAAGGCCUUCGGGUUGUAAAGUACUUUCAGCGGGGAGGAAGGGAGUAAAGUUAAUACCUUUGCUCAUUGACGUUACCCGCAGAAGAAGCACCGGCUAACUCCGUG
Molecule: ribosomal RNA, 490 nt
Filed under: uncultured bacterium
Lineage: Bacteria
Description: partial 16S ribosomal RNA
Rfam family: Bacterial small subunit ribosomal RNA
Source: RNAcentral